UUCCUUAAUUCAAGGGGCUGGACCCCAUUAAAAUUUUGAGUCACGUCAAGUUAGAUACAAUGUACGAUAGAUAGAACUCCAUAACUACUCACAAUUGUGUACCCAGCAACAUGAAACUAAGUAUCGCUACACUUGGAGGUAAUAGUUUGAGCACAAGAAACUACAGUACUACUCGAAAGAACAUAGAGCUUUUCCAUACUUGCAGGAACCUUUGCAGAACAUAAAAAGGAAAAAAAAGAAAAAAACAAUGAAAAG
This 255-nucleotide long non-coding RNA is filed under the name Nicotiana benthamiana. RNAcentral describes it as "long non-coding RNA (NBEN_LNC002072)". Lineage: Eukaryota; Viridiplantae; Streptophyta; Magnoliopsida; Solanales; Solanaceae. The record is from RNAcentral.